RNAcentral lists this long non-coding RNA (249 nucleotides) under Olea europaea (common olive). RNAcentral describes it as "long non-coding RNA (OEUR_LNC010513)". Lineage: Eukaryota; Viridiplantae; Streptophyta; Magnoliopsida; Lamiales; Oleaceae. The record is from RNAcentral.
GUUGUGUUUUAAAAAUUAUGAGUUUACCUAGCUAUAGUUCUCACCCUCUCGUAGUUUGGAUUAAUCUCACUAUCACAAGUUCACAUGUCAACAAGUGAAGGCUCUCCUAGUUUUGAUUGCUUCGACACUCAAGAUUAAACUAGGUUACUUGCCUCGCCUCAAAGGUAUAGUUUCUUCCACCAAAUGUCCAAGGGCUUUUCUUCUUGUUAUUGUCUCUUUUUGUUUUUCUCACUUUUCUCUGGUUUUCUG